RNAcentral lists this ribosomal RNA (610 nucleotides) under uncultured bacterium. RNAcentral's name for it is "bacterial SSU rRNA". It matches the Rfam family "Bacterial small subunit ribosomal RNA", at positions 88 to 682 of the family's 1533-position model. The record is from RNAcentral.
AAAGCGAGCGGCGGAUGGGUGAGUAACACGUGGGGAACCUGCCCCUAAGUCUGGGAUACCAUUUGGAAACAGGUGCUAAUACCGGAUAAUAAAGCAGAUCGCAUGAUCAGCUUUUGAAAGGCGGCGUAAGCUGUCGCUAAGGGAUGGCCCCGCGGUGCAUUAGCUAGUUGGUAAGGUAACGGCUUACCAAGGCGACGAUGCAUAGCCGAGUUGAGAGACUGAUCGGCCACAUUGGGACUGAGACACGGCCCAAACUCCUACGGGAGGCAGCAGUAGGGAAUCUUCCACAAUGGACGCAAGUCUGAUGGAGCAACGCCGCGUGAGUGAAGAAGGUUUUCGGAUCGUAAAGCUCUGUUGUUGGUGAAGAAGGAUAGAGGUAGUAACUGGCCUUUAUUUGACGGUAAUCAACCAGAAAGUCACGGCUAACUACGUGCCAGCAGCCGCGGUAAUACGUAGGUGGCAAGCGUUGUCCGGAUUUAUUGGGCGUAAAGCGAGCGCAGGCGGAAAAAUAAGUCUAAUGUGAAAGCCCUCGGCUUAACCGAGGAACUGCAUCGGAAACUGUUUUUUCUUGAGUUGCAGAAGAGGAGAGUGGAACUCCAUGUGUAGCGGU